This 725-nucleotide long non-coding RNA is filed under the name Marmota monax (woodchuck). Lineage: Eukaryota; Metazoa; Chordata; Mammalia; Rodentia; Sciuridae. The record is from RNAcentral.
CUAAGAUCCAGAUCCAGCUCUAUAAAGCAUUUAACAUUUAGAAAUGAAGUGAGACCAAUGUUAAUAGCAAAAAUAUGCAACUAUUGGAAUUCAAUGCAAAAAACUGUCAUUAUUGAGGCAAUUAGGUUUUACUUAAUGCUCUGAGUCUUAGCAGAACCAGUCUCCCGUGGACAGCUAGCUUCAGUAGCUGGUCCCCUGGAGGUUUAAGGACAAAUGUCUGCUGGGAAGGGAACCUCUGUCUAGAUGCCUCACAGAAAGGGCAGCCAAACAGGGAUGGAUUCCCAGCACCAGCCACUUAGGACAGAGAACAGACCUGCAAGCAGUAGCUCUUGAAGUCUCAAAGUAAGGAUUAGAUAUUCUUUUAAAAUCAGUAUCACAGUUUUUAUUGAUUCUAGAGAGACACGGGGGAAAAGGAAAGAGGGUAAAUCAUUGUUGGCCUGUUGGCUUUGUGACCUCAAGACACUUCCUUAAAAUGUGAGGCCAAAAGGGGAGGCUUCCUUUUCUUUAAUUAGCAUAUUACCUUGAAAGUUCCAGUACAAUUUUCAUGUACCUAAUAGUCACUUGCCAUCUGUCUUAGAUGUUUAAGUCUUUGGAGGUUCUCCUCAGUGUCCUGGGCUUCAUGAAGAAAUGAGCCUUCCUCUUCCUGCCUGAGCAUCCUGUGCCAUUUGUCAGUGGUCAUGGAGACUACAGGAUUCUUAUUCUCCAAGAACUGUCCAGAUUUUGAU